GAGGAGAUUGCCAGAGGGACAUGUGCCAGCCAGCUGAGUCUUCUUCGGAAGAGUCAGAGCUAGAGGGGGAGGACGUGGAAGUCCUUGAGUCAGGGAAGGAUGACCCUAACUCUGAGAAGGAGGAUCUUCACCCUGAGUCAGAGAUAGCUCCUGUUGUAAACGUUGAGGGCUCUGAUCCAAGGGAUUCCGAGCUUCCUUCAGAUGUGACUGCCAGUAGAAAUAAUGUAGGCGAGGGUGUUCUUACUGAUGUAAGUCCUUUGAGGACUAUUUAUC
This 273-nucleotide long non-coding RNA is filed under the name Manihot esculenta (cassava). Its description in RNAcentral is "long non-coding RNA (MESC_LNC010728)". The record is from RNAcentral. Lineage: Eukaryota; Viridiplantae; Streptophyta; Magnoliopsida; Malpighiales; Euphorbiaceae.